This 301-nucleotide ribosomal RNA is filed under the name uncultured bacterium. RNAcentral describes it as "partial 16S ribosomal RNA". It matches the Rfam family "Bacterial small subunit ribosomal RNA", at positions 509 to 807 of the family's 1533-position model. The record is from RNAcentral.
CAGCAGCCGCGGUAAUACGUAGGUGGCAAGCGUUGUCCGGAAUUAUUGGGCGUAAAGGGCUCGCAGGCGGUUUCUUAAGUCUGAUGUGAAAGCCCCCGGCUCAACCGGGGAGGGCCAUUGGAAACUGGGAAACUUGAGUGCAGAAGAGGAGAGUGGAAUUCCACGUGUAGCGGUGAAAUGCGUAGAGAUGUGGAGGAACACCAGUGGCGAAGGCGACUCCCUGGUCUGUAACUGACGCUGAGGAGCGAAAGCGUGGGGAGCGAACAGGAUUAGAUACCCCCGUAGUCCCUGUCUCUUAUAC